RNAcentral lists this unclassified non-coding RNA (367 nucleotides) under uncultured fungus. RNAcentral's name for it is "sequence contains ITS1". The stretch from base 1 to 105 matches the Rfam family "5.8S ribosomal RNA", at positions 50 to 154 of the family's 154-position model. The record is from RNAcentral. Lineage: Eukaryota; Fungi.
GAAAUGCGAUAAGUAAUGUGAAUUGCAGAAUUCAGUGAAUCAUCGAAUCUUUGAACGCACCUUGCGCUCCUUGGCAUUCCGAGGAGCAUGCCUGUUUGAGUGUCGUCAAAUUCUCAGAACCUCCUGCCUGAUGUGGACCAUUGUUGGUCCACUACUUCUUCAGGCAAGCGGGUCUGGAUCGGUGGAGGAUGCACUGCUGGCUAACCAAGUUAGCCCUUUGCUUCUCUGAAAAGGAUCGGCGUUACGGCUUCGUUGUCGGUAUGAUACACAUACAUGUCUUACCUGCUUCUAACCCGUGCCAGCCUUGAACACAAACACGCUCUUAUGAUUUGACCUCAAAUCAGGCAGGACUACCCGCUGAACUUAA